Molecule: non-coding RNA, 83 nt
Organism: Eptesicus fuscus (big brown bat)
Lineage: Eukaryota; Metazoa; Chordata; Mammalia; Chiroptera; Vespertilionidae
Source: RefSeq, marked provisional
UGCCAGAGCCACUGCUUGCACCCGCUGCUGGCGCUGGCCCCAAUUGCUCCAUGCUGUCAGCGGGUGCAAGUGGAGCUGGCGCC